CGCUCUUCCUCGUGCCACCUGGGCACGUCAUUCAUUUCUCUUGGCUUCAGUGUCCUCAUCGCUAGAAUGAGGCUGUGGGAGGGGGCUUUGAGGACCCUCCCAGCUCUAAAGCCGUGAUCUUCCAUUCAAGGGUCCCACCAAGCAUGGCCCAAGGGGGGGCCGAGCUCCCCGGAGUGACCUGAAGGACAUCGAUCGGGUUAAAGAGCAGCACCGACUGGUGACGGCACAGUUGCAGGAUCUGUUUGGGGAGAGGCGAGAAAGGCCCGGCAGGGCUGGACAGCCCCCCAGAGAGUGGCCGGAGGGGAGCUCCGGGGACCAGGGGGCCAAGAAGCCCCAAGUGGAGCAGCUAAACUGAGGUUCUGCUGGCACUCUCGGGAGCCUGACAGCCUUCCUCACUUCGGUUUGCCAGGGUUCCAGUUCUUCUGGGAAACAUGGAAGGACCCUUUGCCUUCAGCCCUGGGGCUUUUUCCUUCACGAAUCCUUCGGAAAAGAAUACUAUCUAUUCGUGUAUCCUCUUCAUAUUGACGAGGCACUUUCUUCAUUACAACUUGGUGGGAGAGAUGGUUUUACCAUUUUCCAGAUAAGGAAACUGAGGCAAAAAGAGGUUAAGUGACUCACCCAGGGUCACCCAGCUAGUAAGAGUCUGAUCCGAAUCGGCGCUGGGGCCAUCAGAACUCCCAAGUGCAGAGCUCUUCGUGUG
RNAcentral lists this long non-coding RNA (700 nucleotides) under Monodelphis domestica (gray short-tailed opossum). RNAcentral describes it as "lncRNA (ENSMODG00000048573.1)". Lineage: Eukaryota; Metazoa; Chordata; Mammalia; Didelphimorphia; Didelphidae. The record is from RNAcentral.